RNAcentral lists this ribosomal RNA (484 nucleotides) under uncultured bacterium. Its description in RNAcentral is "partial 16S ribosomal RNA". It matches the Rfam family "Bacterial small subunit ribosomal RNA", at positions 30 to 507 of the family's 1533-position model. The record is from RNAcentral.
AUUGAACGCUGGCGGCAGGCCUAACACAUGCAAGUCGAGCGGAUGCAGGGAGCUUGCUCCUGGAUUCAGCGGCGGACGGGUGAGUAAUGCCUAGGAAUCUGCCUGGUAGUGGGGGAUAACGUCCGGAAACGGGCGCUAAUACCGCAUACGUCCUGAGGGAGAAAGUGGGGGAUCUUCGGACCUCACGCUAUCAGAUGAGCCUAGGUCGGAUUAGCUAGUUGGUGGGGUAAAGGCCUACCAAGGCGACGAUCCGUAACUGGUCUGAGAGGAUGAUCAGUCACGCUGGAACUGAGACACGGUCCGGACUCCUACGGGAGGCAGCCGUGGGGAAUAUUGGACAAUGGGCGAAAGCCUGAUCCAUCCAUGCCGCGUGUGUGAAGAAGGUCUUCGGAUUGUAAAGCACUUUAAGUUGGGAGGAAUGGCAGUAAGUUAAUACCUUGCUGUUUUUGCGUUACCAACAGAAUAAGCACCGGCUAACUUCGUG